AUAACUGAAACCAGAUAUGUCAGCUGUGAAAGAUGCAAUAAGAUAUAACUUUAUUAUGGUAUACUGAAAAAGCUCUACAUGAGGCUUUGCUGCUCCUAUGGUUAAUGCUUGAGGAAUGCUGGGCUUAGAGCAUACAUCCUUCUUCGUUAUCUCGCUCAGCCCUUAAAACGGCAAUGGAAACCCUGUUCCUUGCAGUCACCAAAGUCCCAUUUAGUACCAGCACAUGCAAGUGACAGAGGAUGGAUCAGCUCAGCGCAUCUCAGCUCCCCAGUCCAGGAGAGUACAGCCCAUCCCCAUGCACAUCAUGCCAAAACACAGCUGGUGAACCAGCUGCCAAACAGACUGUCGUCAUAUCCUGUUUUUACAGGAUAUGACGACAUGGCUGGUUUUAUGCCCGGAGCAGUCAGCCUGCUAAGCUCUCUGCAACAAAUAUCUGAUGAAGGGGGAAGUAAAAGGCUUCUUUGUCCUCUGUCCUCACAAUAAAAUUGCAAUAUUGUAAUAGUAUAUCCCUUAAUCUAGGUAAUCAGUUUGAUUGUUACUUUGCGUACUGUUUCUGCUAACGUGAUUUGGAAUUAUAUUGAAUUUGU
Molecule: long non-coding RNA, 587 nt
Organism: Strigops habroptila (Kakapo)
Lineage: Eukaryota; Metazoa; Chordata; Aves; Psittaciformes; Psittacidae
Exons: 3
Source: RefSeq, a predicted model, not a curated record